UGUGCCUACUCCCCCCUCCCCCCAAAGAGCCAGUUGUUACACAUUUACCAAUACACCCUUGGAUGGACUACAGAUCUGGGAGUCAUCAGCAGAGAGAUCAUAAAUAAACUUAUGGAAGCUGAUGAGGUCAUAAAGAGAGGACAGAGAGAAGACAGAUUGGCCCAGGACAGAACCUCGGGGGUGCACUCACAGUCAGGGGGCAUGCAAUGGAUGAUGAGUCAAUAAAGGAGACUAAAGGUGGCUCGUAGGUAGAAGAAGAACUAGGCGAAGGAAAUGUCACCAAAUCCAGAGAAGAUGGAUUUUACAGGAGGAGAGAGUGGACAACAGUGGCAGGGGACAUUGCAGACCCAGCCACAAUAUUUGAAAACAUACUGGCUAUUUUGCAUUUUGGAGCAGUGAGAUACAAAAUGAACCUCAGUUACAAGGAGAUGCCAGUGCUUUGCUUCAUCUGAAAGAAGAGAUCAGGUAGUGGUAACAGGGGUCUCUACGCUGGACUGCCAGAAGCUAUGCUCCUCUUUCCUGGAGGAGUUGAACCACUACGCUUUUGGAAAUCUACCCUGGGGCUGAGCUCUCCAUAUUAGUGAAUGAGCAGAAAUGUAAGUUCAGGGAACGUGAACGUGAAGGACUAUUGGAACUCUCUCGAUGAAGAUUUCCAAGUCGUGGUACUCUCCAUGGAGCAGGGAAGUAUCAUGAAAUAAAUUACUUACUGAGACCUAACCUCUCCUGGUUCUAUCAUCUUAUUCAGAAUGGGUUGGUUAGAAGUAUAGUCCUGUUAUAGUAAGUACACUGAAUCACAGAAUGUUGGAACUAAAAGGCAGCUGAGAGAUCCUGUAUGUUUGCCAUUGUCCCCUACAGCUCAGCUCAAACAAGGAAGAACUGAAGCCCAAGCCCGGCUUCAUGCUGUUGGUUUGCAGCCAGGAGGAAAGGCUGGUCUGUGGUUCAAAGAAGAAAACUCUAGCCAAAAUGAGCAUUCAGUCAGGAAGACCAUAGUUACUCUGAGUGGGGUACAGGAAAAUGUAGUCUGUUGUGAAGAGGUUUCUCAAACAUUUUGUUUUAGGAUGUCAGUCAAUAAGCAUUUAUUAAGACUCGCCCUGUGCCAGAAAAUGUGCAAGUGCCUAUUAUAAUCCUUUAAUCUGUCAAGCUGCACAUUAAUAAUUUGGGAACUUAAUUAGUGAAGGAGAACUUCUGGGGCGCUAAAGCUC
Molecule: long non-coding RNA, 1202 nt
Organism: Phascolarctos cinereus (koala)
Lineage: Eukaryota; Metazoa; Chordata; Mammalia; Diprotodontia; Phascolarctidae
Source: RefSeq, a predicted model, not a curated record